GACGAACGCUGGCGGCGUGCUUAACACAUGCAAGUCGAACGGGCCUUGUCCCCUUUUUUUUUGGGGGUGGGGUUAGUGGCGAACGGGUGAGUAACACGUGAGUAACCUGCCCCUCACUUCUGGAUAACCGCUUGAAAGGGUGGCUAAUACGGGGUGUUCUGGCCUGCUCGCAUGGGUGGGUUUGGAAAGAUUCGACCGGUUUUGGUUGUUUUGGUGGGGGAUGGGCUCGCGGCCUAUCAGCUUGUUGGUGGGGUGAUGGCCUGCCAAGGCUUUGACGGGUAGCCCGCCUGAGAGGGUGGGCGGUCACACUGGGACUGAGACACGGCCCAGACUCCGACGGGAGGCAGCAGUGGGGAAUAUUGCACAAUGGGCGCAAGCCGGAUGCAGCGACGCCGCGUGAGGGAUGGAGGCCUUCGGGUUGUGAACCUCUUUCGCCAGUGAAGAAGGUCCUGCUCUUUGUGGUGGGGUUGACGGUAGCUGGGUUAAUGAAGCGCCGGCUAACUACGUG
RNAcentral lists this ribosomal RNA (508 nucleotides) under uncultured bacterium. RNAcentral describes it as "partial 16S ribosomal RNA". It matches the Rfam family "Bacterial small subunit ribosomal RNA", at positions 28 to 507 of the family's 1533-position model. The record is from RNAcentral.